RNAcentral lists this ribosomal RNA (403 nucleotides) under uncultured bacterium. RNAcentral's name for it is "partial 16S ribosomal RNA". It matches the Rfam family "Bacterial small subunit ribosomal RNA", at positions 30 to 526 of the family's 1533-position model. The record is from RNAcentral.
AUUGAACGCUGGCGGCAGGCCUAACACAUGAAAGUCGAGCGAGCGGCGGACGGGUGAGUAAUGUAUGGGGACUGCCCGAUAGAGGGGGAUAACUACUGGAAACGGUGGCUAAUACCGCAUAUUGUCGGAUAACCCAUAUGGGAUGAGCUAGUAGUUAAGGUAAUGGCUUACCUAGGCGACGGUCCCUAGCUGGUCUGAGAGGAUGAUCAGGCACACUGGGGCUGCGACAGGGCCCAGUCUCCGACGGAGGCAGCAGUGGGGAAUAUUGCACAAGGGGCACAAGCCUGAUGCAGCCAUGCCGGGUGUAUGAAGAAGGCCCUAGGGUUGUAAAGUACUUUCAGUCGGGAGGCGUUACCGACAGAAGAAGCACCGGCUAACUCCGUGCCAGCCGCCGCGGUAAUAC